CGCCGAUCACCUUCCUGGCAGGUGGGGAAAAAGUGAAGAUAUGUAACAUAUAAAAUGGAGUCAGUCGUUUUCACUGAUCUGCUAAAAUAAUCCACAUAUUAAGUUUGAGGCAUUUGGAAAGACUUCAACCUUGUUUAACUAGCCUGGGAACUUCAGCUUUCUUGAACUUUCCAGUCCUGUGUCAAUGCCUGGAUUUACAUCUGGACCUAUAGGAGGUUAGGUCUGUACCAAGAUAUUAGUAUUUGGGGAUCAAGUCAAGAAAAAAUGGUUGGCAACCUCCUUUGGAGAAAUAUGAGGAACAAAUACACUUACAUGCUUUCAAAGAAGAUCACCGGGAAUAAGGUAGGAUCAGACUUCUUAGAUCUCAAAGAAGCUUCAGGACUGCCCUGUUUAAAUCUUUGGAACAAUGAAUUUUAAAAUUCAGAUACAACUCAAAUAGGUCUUAGCAGGCAUUAGACAAUCUAAUGGAUAGAGAGUGAUUUCAAGCAAAAUAAGUCUUUCUUAUUAUUGAGUUCUCACCAAUACCAAAAGAUAAAUUCAGAUUUCAUUUUGUCUUGUAAUUUUCUGGCUUAUAGUAUUCCUUAGGUUCAGAAGCAACUCAGAGUGCUUCACAGAGAUGAUAGGUAUUUGCUCAGCUUGUUUUGAUAUUAUGCACAAUAAUAAUUGAGGUCCACACAUUUAUCUUUUGGAAUGAUUUCCAUUAGUUUCUUUCUUGUUUAUGAGUCUUCCUUGUAACUGGGCUGAACUUACAUUUUGUAGUUUUCUGACUUAUUUUUGUCUUUUAGGUUUUUCCUAAAAGACCAAACAAGAAGACAAAAAUCUUGGCACAUUAUUUAACUGUCAAAUUAGCCUCAGAUUAAUCUCUCUCUCUCUCUCUCUCUCUCUCUCUCUCUCUCUCUCUCUCUCUCUCUUUCUCUGUCCACUCCCUUGUUAUUCUUAAAUAAUCUAACUCUAUUAACUUCUCUUUAUGUAGAUCUAGAACAGUUUGGAUCAGGACUAACAUCACAGCUUACAAUAGAAUUGCCUUUAAUUCGAAAAUCAGAAGUGACUGGAUGUUGUUUAAGAAGAAUGAAGGAUAAACAGUCUGACCUUUUCUUUCUAAGACAAUGGAGGCUGGCAUGUGCUGACUAUUCAGACACAGCUCUCAGGCCUGCCUCUAGCAGUGGCUGAGCCAUUUCCUCCUACUCUGGAGCUGUCACUGCCCUGAGUCACUGCCCUGCUGUUGCCAGGUGCUUGUUUGCUAAGUAGUAACACACUACACCCCCACAUCCCCACACAGAGUUCUGGGGAAUUGCCCCAAUUUUCAGCUCUGCUGAGGUGGUUUGUGACUCAUCCUCUUUUUUUCUUUAGUGACCUUUUAAAGAGACAGG
Molecule: long non-coding RNA, 1370 nt
Organism: Pipistrellus kuhlii (Kuhl's pipistrelle)
Lineage: Eukaryota; Metazoa; Chordata; Mammalia; Chiroptera; Vespertilionidae
Exons: 4
Source: RefSeq, a predicted model, not a curated record